RNAcentral lists this ribosomal RNA (490 nucleotides) under uncultured bacterium. RNAcentral describes it as "partial 16S ribosomal RNA". It matches the Rfam family "Bacterial small subunit ribosomal RNA", at positions 30 to 507 of the family's 1533-position model. The record is from RNAcentral.
AUUGAACGCUGGCGGCAGGCCUAACACAUGCAAGUCGAACGGUAACAGGAAGAAGCUUGCUUCUUUGCUGACGAGUGGCGGACGGGUGAGUAAUGUCUGGGAAACUGCCUGAUGGAGGGGGAUAACUACUGGAAACGGUAGCUAAUACCGCAUAACGUCGCAAGACCAAAGAGGGGGACCUUCGGGCCUCUUGCCAUCGGAUGUGCCCAGAUGGGAUUAGCUAGUAGGUGGGGUAACGGCUCACCUAGGCGACGAUCCCUAGCUGGUCUGAGAGGAUGACCAGCCACACUGGAACUGAGACACGGUCCAGACUCCUACGGGAGGCAGCAGUGGGGAAUAUUGCACAAUGGGCGCAAGCCUGAUGCAGCCAGGCCGCGUGUAUGAAGAAGGCCUUCGGGUUGUAAAGUACUUUCAGCGGGGAGGAAGGGAGUAAAGUUAAUACCUUGGCUCAUUGACGUUACCCGCAGAAGAAGCACCGGCUAACUCCGUG